This 290-nucleotide unclassified non-coding RNA is filed under the name plant metagenome. RNAcentral describes it as "partial contains small subunit ribosomal RNA, internal transcribed spacer 1, and 5.8S ribosomal RNA". The stretch from base 241 to 290 matches the Rfam family "5.8S ribosomal RNA", at positions 1 to 49 of the family's 154-position model. The record is from RNAcentral.
UUUCCGUAGGUGAACCUGCGGAAGGAUCAUUAAUGAGUUGUCAUGGGGUUCGAUGCUGGCAGCCAAUUUUUGGAUGCAUGUGCUUGCCCUAACAAUCAUCUUCCAAACACCUGUGCACAUUUUUGAGGGAGUCUUGAGUUGGUUGCCGCUCUUGGGUGAUUUUCUCACAUUCCCUUAAAUCAUUAUACGCUAUUAACAAUGUUGAACGUGCUCUGUGCCGCAAGGCUAUUAAUAUAAUACAACUUUUAACAACGGAUCUCUUGGCUCUCGCAUUCGAUGAAGAACGCAGC